CAUCACCACGCGGAUCCGUACCUCGGAGAGUGGCUCAGAUGAGGCCAUCAAGUCCAUCCUGGAACAGGCCAAGAGAGAGCUGCAGGUUCAGAAGGCUGAUGGUGUGGAGGACAGACAGCGACGACAGACAGGUUACCCCCGGGGCAUGGGCAACUAUUUUGCAAAAUAUGCACAAAGUCUCAGACUCGUAGACUCGUCCCAGCCCCCUCCCUCGUCCAGCAUUGGUGGUGGUGGAGGUGGUAUCGGCUCAGGUGGAUCCUCCAGCUCAGACGAGACCAUCCGCUCCAUCCUAGAGCAGGCCAGGAGAGAGAUGGAGGCCCAGCAGGCCGCCCUGGAGCCCAUC
Molecule: long non-coding RNA, 343 nt
Organism: Salvelinus sp. IW2-2015
Lineage: Eukaryota; Metazoa; Chordata; Actinopteri; Salmoniformes; Salmonidae
Exons: 3
Source: RefSeq, a predicted model, not a curated record